UAUGUACUCCCUCCGUCCGAAAACUUGUCAUCAAAAUGGAUAAGAAGGGAUGUAUAUGUAACUAAAAUACGUAUAGAUACACCCCCUUUUAUUCAUUUUGAUGACAAGUAUUUUCGGACGGAGGGAGUACUAC
Non-coding RNA from Triticum aestivum (bread wheat), 133 nucleotides. The record is from Rfam. NCBI's taxonomy places the organism in Eukaryota, Viridiplantae, Streptophyta, Magnoliopsida, Poales, Poaceae.